GAUGAACUCUAGCGGCAGGCUUAACACAUGCAAGUCGAGGGGCAGCAUAAUGGUAUUAAUACUAUUGAUGGCGACCGGCGGACGGGUGCGUAACGCGUAUGCAACCUACCCUUUACAGGGGGAUAACACUGAGAAAUCGGUACUAAUACCCCAUAAUAUUCUGGGAGGCAUCUUUCGGAGUUGAAAUCUUUGGAGGUAAAGGAUGGGCAUGCGUUGUAUUAGCUAGUUGGUAAGGUAACGGCUUACCAAGGCGACGAUACAUAGGGGGGACUGAGAGGUUUAACCCCCCACAUUGGUACUGAGACACGGACCAAACUCCUACGGGAGGCAGCAGUGAGGAAUAUUGGUCAAUGGACGGAAGUCUGAACCAGCCAUGCCGCGUGCAGGAAGACGGCUCUAUGAGUUGUAAACUGCUUUUGUACGAGGGUAAACGCAGAUACGUGUAUCUGCCUGAAAGUAUCGUACGAAUAAGGAUCGGCUAACUCCGUGCCAGCAGCCGCGGUAAUACGGAGGAUCCAAGCGUUAUCCGGAUUUAUUGGGUUUAAAGGGUGCGUAGGCGGUUUUGUAAGUCAGCGGUGAAAUUUUGGUGCUUAACACCAAACGUGCCGUUGAUACUGCUGGGCUAGAGAGUAGUUGCGGUAGGCGGAAUGUAUGGUGUAGCGGUGAAAUGCUUAGAGAUCAUACAGAACACCGAUUGCGAAGGCAGCUUACCAAACUAUAUCUGACGUUGAGGCACGAAAGCGUGGGGAGCAAACAGGAUUAGAUACCCUGGUAGUCCACGCAGUAAACGAGAAAAGCUCGUGUUGGGCGAUACACAGUCGGGGAAUAAGAGAAAUCGAUAAGCUAUCCACCUGGGGAGUACGUUCGCAAGAAUGAAACUCAAAGGAAUUGACGGGGGCCCGCACAAGCGGAGGAACAUGUGGUUUAAUUCGAUGAUACGCGAGGAACCUUACCCGGGCUUGAAAGUUACUGACGAUUCUGGAAACAGGAUUUCCCUUCGGGGCAGGAAACUAGGUGCUGCAUGGUUGUCGUCAGCUCGUGCCGUGAGGUGUCGGGUUAAGUCCCAUAACGAGCGCAACCCCUACUGAUAGUUGCCAUCAGAGCGUUUGAGCGAUCAAACAAGCUGGGCACUCUAUCGGGACUGCCGGUGUAAGCCGAGAGGAAGGUGGGGAUGACGUCAAAUCAGCACGGCCCUUACGUCCGGGGCGACACACGUGUUACAAUGGUAGGUACAGAGGGCAGCCACCCAGUGAUGGGGAGCGAAUCUCGAAAGCCUAUCUCAGUUCGGAUUGGAGGCUGAAACUCGCCUCCAUGAAGUUGGAUUCGCUUG
RNAcentral lists this ribosomal RNA (1330 nucleotides) under uncultured bacterium. RNAcentral describes it as "bacterial SSU rRNA". It matches the Rfam family "Bacterial small subunit ribosomal RNA", at positions 28 to 1338 of the family's 1533-position model. The record is from RNAcentral.